This 289-nucleotide long non-coding RNA is filed under the name Vigna radiata. RNAcentral's name for it is "long non-coding RNA (VRAD_LNC018361)". The record is from RNAcentral. Lineage: Eukaryota; Viridiplantae; Streptophyta; Magnoliopsida; Fabales; Fabaceae.
UUUUUAUGGUUUUUAAGGGGUAUUUUUGGGUUUUUAGGGUUUUUAAGAGGUAUAUUUGGGUUUUUAGGGUUCUUUAGGGGUAGUUUUGGGGUUUAAGGGUUUCUAAGGGAUAUUUUUCUGUUUUUGGGUUUUUUAAGGGACAUUUUUAGGUUUUUAUGGUUUCUUAGUGGUAUUUUUGGGUUUUUAGGGUUUUUAGGUGGUUUUUUUGAGUUUUUAGAGUAUUUAAGGGGUAUUUUCGGGUUUUUAUGAUUUUUAAGGGGUAUUUUUGGGUUUUAAUGAUUUUUAAGGG